Molecule: long non-coding RNA, 109 nt
Organism: Notothenia coriiceps (black rockcod)
Lineage: Eukaryota; Metazoa; Chordata; Actinopteri; Perciformes; Nototheniidae
Exons: 3
Source: RefSeq, a predicted model, not a curated record
CAAAAACAAAGUGGAAAGGAGUGGCUAAAUCAGGCUAGAAUUAAGGUUUUAGAAUGACUUCCCAAAGUCCCGACUUAAACCUGACUGAGAACAUGUGGACAGUGCUGAA